This is a small nuclear RNA of Suncus etruscus (white-toothed pygmy shrew), 108 nucleotides long. The record is from RefSeq and is a predicted model, not a curated record. NCBI's taxonomy places the organism in Eukaryota, Metazoa, Chordata, Mammalia, Eulipotyphla, Soricidae.
AUGCUAGCUUCAGCAGCACAUAUACUAAAAAUUGGAAUGAUACAGAGAAGAUUAGUAUGCCCCCUAUUCAAGGAUGACAUAAAACUUUGUGAAGCAAUCCAUAUUUUA